This 253-nucleotide ribosomal RNA is filed under the name uncultured bacterium. Its description in RNAcentral is "partial 16S ribosomal RNA". It matches the Rfam family "Bacterial small subunit ribosomal RNA", at positions 524 to 776 of the family's 1533-position model. The record is from RNAcentral.
UACGUAGGGUGCAAGCGUUGUCCGGAAUUAUUGGGCGUAAAGAGCUCGUAGGCGGCCUGUUACGUCUGCUGUGAAAUCCCGGGGCUUAACCCCGGGCGUGCAGUGGAUACGGGCAGGCUGGAGGCAGGCAGGGGAGAACGGAAUUCCCGGUGUAGCGGUGAAAUGCGCAGAUAUCGGGAGGAACACCGGUGGCGAAGGCGGUUCUCUGGGCCGUUACUGACGCUGAGGAGCGAAAGCGUGGGGAGCGAACAGG